This 844-nucleotide long non-coding RNA is filed under the name Gallus gallus (chicken). Lineage: Eukaryota; Metazoa; Chordata; Aves; Galliformes; Phasianidae. The record is from RNAcentral.
GUCGUCAUCACCCUGAGCCCCGAAGCGGCGGCGGCGGCGGCCGCCAUGCGGAAGUCGUGCCGGGUUCAACGCUGCUGCAGCGCCGCCGGGCAGCCCCGGGGCUCCGAGCGCCGCUUCAGCUUCUCCGAAAACUGACAGUUCCCACCGAAAAAGCCCCCUAUGGCCACCAGGUGAUGUGGGGAAAACCGCAGGUGACACCGGGACAACUGCCUGCCCCCACAUUUGUCCCUGUCACCGUGGAACCUGGCGCCAUCCCAACCCUCAUCUAUGCUGAGAGCUCCGUCAGCAUCCUAAAGUUCCGGGAGCCGGGUGACGCCGUCUCCCUGACUUCCCCCGGUGUCCCCAGCCGUUCUCCCUGCUGCGGUGGUGCAACUGGAGGGCUGUGACAUCCUCAUCAAAGAGGCCUGCCUCCAGCCGGACCUGGUAACACUGGAGCUCUCUGGCGCUGUCACCAUUAUGUGCCACAAGGAUGGGGACGUGGUGGUGUACUCUGCUGCCACCAGAGGGGACCGUGUGUGACAUCAGCGUGGAACAGCUGUCAUCGCUGCUGGGUGUUGCUUUUGUCAACAUGCAUGGGGUGUCACUGCUGGGGACACCUCUGUGUCACCCCUUCCAUGUCACACCCCAAAGUUGGAGGCACCCCUCUGCAGAUCCCCCGGUGUCCGUCCUUCUGACCGCAUUGUUCCCAUGCGGGGGUGGGUGGAGUUGAGGGGGGCACACACUUUAUUUUUGUAAAUAAGAUUUAUUUUGUGAUAAGGUGGACUGGGAGACGCCGCCCCCCCAGACCUCUGCAUGAAUAAAAGGCAGAGGAGCGGCUGUGGGGCUCUGCAUGUCACACCGGGGG